AGAGUUUGAUCCUGGCUCAGGAUGAACGCUGGCGGCGUGCCUAAUACAUGCAAGUCGAGCGAGAAAUUCUUUAAUGAAUCUUCGGAGGAAUUAGAGAAUGGACAGCGGCGGACGGGUGAGUAACGCGUAGGCAACCUGCCUCACACAGAGGGAUAGCCAUUGGAAACGAUGAAUAAUACCUCAUGAAACCGGAACAACACAUGUUGAUCCGGUCAAAGAUUUAUCGGUGUGAGAUGGGCCUGCGUCUGAUUAACUAGUUGGUGAGGUAGCGGCUCACCAAGGUGACGAUCAGUAGCCGACCUGAGAGGGUGAUCGGCCACAUUGGAACUGAGACACGGUCCAAACUUCUACGGAAGGCAGCAGUAGGGAAUCUUGCACAAUGGGCGAAAGCCUGAUGCAGCAACGCCGCGUGAAGGAUGAAGGCCUUCGGGUUGUAAACUUCUGUUCCCGGGGACGAAGAAAGUGACGGUACCCGGGCAGCAAGCCCCGGCUAACUACGUGCCAGCAGCCGCGGUAAUACGUAGGGGGCAAGCGUUAUCCGGGAUUAUUGGGCGUAAAGAGUGCGUAGGUGGUUAUGUAAGCGUGAGGUUUAAGGCAGUGGCUUAACCACUGUUCGCCUUGCGAACUGCAUAACUUGAGUGCAGGAGGAGAAAGCGGAAUUCCUAGUGUAGCGGUGAAAUGCGUAGAUAUUAGGAGGAACACCAGCGGCGAAGGCGGCUUUCUGGACUGCAACUGACACUGAGGCACGAAAGCGUGGGGAGCAAACAGGAUUAGAUACCCUGGUAGUCCACGCCGUAAACGAUGAGCACUAGUUGUUGGGUCCGAACGGAUUCAGUGACGCAGUUAACGCAAUAAGUGCUCCGCCUGGGGAGUACGCUCGCAAGAGUAAAACUCAAAGGAAUUGACGGGGACCCGCACAAGCAGCGGAGCAUGUGGUUUAAUUCGAAGCAACGCGAAAAACCUUACCAGGACUUGACAUCCUGCUGACAGGCCCUUAACCGGGCCCUUCUUCGGACAGCAGAGACAGGUGGUGCAUGAUUGUCGUCAGCUCGUGUCGUGAGAUGUUGGGUUAAGUCCCGCAACGAGCGCAACCCUUGUUGUCAGUUACUAACAUUAAGUUGAGGACUCUGGCGAGACUGCCGAGGUUAACUCGGAGGAAGGUGGGGAUGACGUCAAAUCAUCAUGCCCCUUAUGUUCUGGGCUACACACGUGCUACAAUGGCCGGUACAGAGAGACGCAAAACCGCGAGGCGGAGCAAAUCACUAAAACCGGUCCCAGUUCGGACUGCAGGCUGAAACCCGCCUGCACGAAGUUGGAGUUGCUAGUAAUCGCAGAUCAGAAUGCUGCGGUGAAUGCGUUCCCGGGUCUUGUACACACCGCCCGUCACACCAUGGAAGUUGGGGGUGCCCAAAGUUGGCUGAUAAAUAAGUUACCUAAGGCAAAACCAAUGACUGGGGUGAAGUCGUAACAAGGUAGCCGUUCGAGAACGAGCGGCUGGAUCACCUCCUU
This 1509-nucleotide ribosomal RNA is filed under the name uncultured bacterium. RNAcentral describes it as "bacterial SSU rRNA". It matches the Rfam family "Bacterial small subunit ribosomal RNA". The record is from RNAcentral.